This 507-nucleotide ribosomal RNA is filed under the name uncultured bacterium. RNAcentral describes it as "bacterial SSU rRNA". It matches the Rfam family "Bacterial small subunit ribosomal RNA", at positions 19 to 518 of the family's 1533-position model. The record is from RNAcentral.
CUGGCUCAGGAUGAACGCUAGCGACAGGCUAACACAUGCAAGUCGAGGGGCAUCACGGGAGUAGCAAUACAACUGGUGGCGACCGGCGCACGGGUGAGUAACGCGUAUGCAACCUACCUAUCAGAGGGGAAUAACCCGGCGAAAGUCGGACUAAUACCGCAUAAAACAGGGGCACCGCAUGGUGAUAUUUGUUAAAGAAAUUCGCUGAUAGAUGGGCAUGCGUUCCAUUAGGUAGUUGGUGAGGUAACGGCUCACCAAGCCGACGAUGGAUAGGGGAACUGAGAGGUUGGUCCCCCACACUGGUACUGAGACACGGACCAGACUCCUACGGGAGGCAGCAGUGAGGAAUAUUGGUCAAUGGGCGGGAGCCUGAACCAGCCAAGUCGCGUGAAGGAAGAAGGAUCUAUGGUUCGUAAACUUCUUUUGCAGGGGAAUAAAGUGCAGGACGUGUCCUGUUUUGUAUGUACCCUGAGAAUAAGGAUCGGCUAACUCCGUGCCAGCCGCCGC